This is a non-coding RNA of Gossypium hirsutum (cotton), 147 nucleotides long. Lineage: Eukaryota; Viridiplantae; Streptophyta; Magnoliopsida; Malvales; Malvaceae. The record is from Rfam.
UUUUAAAAAAUUUCAUCCAUUUUUACUUUUAAAAACUAACGUAACCGACAGAUUAAUCAAGCAAUUACACGUGGCAUAUCACAUGUACCUCGUUCUAACAUACAAGGACUAGUUUUUAACAAUAAAAAUUUGAUGAAAUUUUUAACA